GGGCCCAUAGCUCAGUUGGUCAGAGCCCCCGGCUCAUAACCGGAUGGUCCCAGGUUCGAAUCCUGGUGGGCCCACCA
This 77-nucleotide transfer RNA is filed under the name Nitrospina gracilis 3/211. RNAcentral's name for it is "tRNA-Met". It matches the Rfam family "tRNA". From Rfam's summary of the family: Transfer RNA (tRNA) molecules are approximately 80 nucleotides in length. Their secondary structure includes four short double-helical elements and three loops (D, anti-codon, and T loops). The record is from RNAcentral. Lineage: Bacteria; Pseudomonadati; Nitrospinota; Nitrospinia; Nitrospinales; Nitrospinaceae. RNAcentral also lists the same sequence under 3 other names.